This 468-nucleotide ribosomal RNA is filed under the name uncultured bacterium. RNAcentral describes it as "partial 16S ribosomal RNA". It matches the Rfam family "Bacterial small subunit ribosomal RNA", at positions 28 to 507 of the family's 1533-position model. The record is from RNAcentral.
GACGAACGCUGGCGGCGUGCUUAACACAUGCAAGUCGAACGGAAAGGCCCUGCUUUUGUGGGGUGCUCGAGUGGCGAACGGGUGAGUAACACGUGAGUAACCUGCCCUUGACUUUGGGAUAACUUCAGGAAACUGGGGCUAAUACCGGAUAGGAGCUCCUGCUGCAUGGUGGGGGUUGGAAAGUUUCGGCGGUUGGGGAUGGACUCGCGGCUUAUCAGCUUGUUGGUGGGGUAGUGGCUUACCAAGGCUUUGACGGGUAGCCGGCCUGAGAGGGUGACCGGCCACAUUGGGACUGAGAUACGGCCCAGACUCCUACGGGAGGCAGCGGUGGGGAAUAUUGCACAAUGGGCGGAAGCAUGAUGCAGCAACGCCGCGUGCGGGAUGACGGCCUUCGGGUUGUAAACCGCUUUCGCCUGUGACGAAGCGUGAGUGACGGUAAUGGGUAAAGAAGCACCGGCUAACUACGUG